UACAGAGGGUGCGAGCGUUAAUCGGAAUUACUGGGCGUAAAGCGCACGUAGGUGGCGACGUAAGUCGGGUGUGAAAGCCCCGGGCUCAACCUGGGAAUUGCAUUCGAGACUGCAUUGCUGGAGUACGGAAGGGGAGGGCGGAAUUCCCGGUGUAGCGGUGAAAUGCGUAGAUAUCGGGAGGAACAUCAGUGGCGAAGGCGGCCCUCUGGUCCAGUACUGACACUCAAGUGCGAAAGCGUGGGGAGCAAACAGG
This 253-nucleotide ribosomal RNA is filed under the name uncultured bacterium. RNAcentral's name for it is "partial 16S ribosomal RNA". It matches the Rfam family "Bacterial small subunit ribosomal RNA", at positions 524 to 776 of the family's 1533-position model. The record is from RNAcentral.